UAGGGAAUCUUCGGCAAUGGACGGAAGUCUGACCGAGCAACGCCGCGUGAGUGAAGAAGGUUUUCGGAUCGUAAAGCUCUGUUGUUAGAGAAGAACGUUGGUAGGAGUGGAAAAUCUACCAAGUGACGGUAACUAACCAGAAAGGGACGGCUAACUACGUGCCAGCAGCCGCGGUAAUACGUAGGUCCCGAGCGUUGUCCGGAUUUAUUGGGCGUAAAGCGCGCGCAGGCGGUUCUUUAAGUCUGAAGUUAAAGGCAGUGGCUUAACCAUUGUACGCUUUGGAAACUGGAGGACUUGAGUGCAGAAGGGGAGAGUGGAAUUCCAUGUGUAGCGGUGAAAUGCGUAGAUAUAUGGAGGAACACCGGUGGCGAAAGCGGCUCUCUGGUCUGUAACUGACGCUGAGGCUCGAAAGCGUGGGGAGCAAACAGG
Molecule: ribosomal RNA, 429 nt
Filed under: Bacillota bacterium
Lineage: Bacteria; Bacillati; Bacillota
Description: Firmicutes bacterium partial 16S ribosomal RNA
Rfam family: Bacterial small subunit ribosomal RNA
Source: RNAcentral